RNAcentral lists this long non-coding RNA (2082 nucleotides) under Nicotiana benthamiana. RNAcentral describes it as "long non-coding RNA (NBEN_LNC023779)". The record is from RNAcentral. Lineage: Eukaryota; Viridiplantae; Streptophyta; Magnoliopsida; Solanales; Solanaceae.
CACCUUUUUCAUUGAAUGACGAAAUUGGGUAGCCCCGAUUUUCACCAUAUACACCUAUUGAUGCCACCAUUCUAAAAAAAUCUGAAAUCAAUAAAAUGAUAUUAGAUGGAUAAAAAAAGAAUUACUAGAAUCAUAACCAAAUAAAAUUAAAGAUCUCAAAAAGAAAAAGAAAACAAAUCUACAAUUUAAAUAAAUAAUAGAAAAGAGAUUUUAAAUAAAGAGGAUAACAAAUUUAAAUGAGAUUGUAUAAAGAGAGAGGAUAACAAAAAUGAAGAAAAUAAAAUAAAUUAAGAAAGGAAAUAUAAAGAUACGAAAGAAAAGGGAAAAGGUUAAAAGGGUCCAUGUAGGACUGCAAGGAUUAAUAAUGGUGGCGUGAGAAUAAAAAAAUACAAGACUCACCAUCCUAAAUCUUGCCUGUGGGACUUCGAAAUCAAUGUCCAUAAAAAUGGUUUUUUCGACUUCUUUUCGGCCAUAAAAAGGGUUUUUUUUUCUCCAACUAUUUUUUCACUUUUCUUCGGAAUCUAUGUUUCCAUGAAAAUUUCAAAUUUCACUUAAAGAAUUUCGAAAAAGUUCGAAAUUUGAAAAACUCCAAAAAAAAGCUAUUUUUUAAAAAAUUUACUUCAAAGUACUCACAAAAAUUCAAAACAAUUCCAAAUUGUAUUCAUGUCCAAACAUAACUUAAAUUUUCAAAUAUCAUUUUCAUCUUGAAAAAAGGAUUUCACGUUUUCUGAAAUUUCAUAAUUUUUAUGUCCAAACACCCACUUAGCACUUAAACACAGGCACCUAAGUCAAUUUAUGAUUACGGGUGCCACCCACUAUUAUAAGUCAACUGAGUAUGAGAUCCGACAAACAAUGAAGGCAAAGAAAGAUAAGUGUAAGUUAAAGAGUGUUUACACCUAAUGAUCCGUUUGAUCCCUCCUUUUGUAAUGGCAAAGUAAAUCCUUGUUUGUUUCAACUCUACAACAUUCAUAACCUUCAUGUCAUCAUCAUCAUUUUAUUCUUGUAUUUUUGCCCGCCUCAACAUCAGUACCGCUACCUUCAGCUUCGGUAUUACUUUUAAUAUAAUCUUUAUCUUCUGCUCAUUUACUUUCUUCUCUGGGUCUACACCAUGAUCAACAUAUUUGUCUUUUUUCGGAUAAUUUUCAGGUCGAAGAAGGAGCAUUGGAAGAUAGUUAGUUAGUCUAAUUAGUUAGGACCAAAGUAUAACCACUAGAACAUAGAGAAGUCAUUAUUAUUAUUCUAAUUUCCUCGUAUAUAAUAAUUUGUUACAACAGUUAAUAAAAUCAGUUGGAAAAUUCCCAAAACUCUGUCUUUUUCUUCACACUCAAAGCUCUCUCUAAUGGCCGAAUUUUGACAUGGUAUCAAAGCCAUGGAGACUGAUUCGUGAAGAUUUCGACAUUUAUCUAACCAAUUUCCUACUCAUUGAAUUGAUCACUGCUAAUUUCAGUAAUUAUUUGUUCGAUCAGGAAGAUCGAUUGCUCAAGCUUGUGCGUCAAUGGCGACAGAAAAAUCGACCGUACGCAUCCUCUUUUUUUCAACUUUCUAAUACACCUACAUUGAUUCUAAUUCCAAUUUAGCUCACAUGUUUAGAGAACUACGGACAGUUGAGUAGAUCAAUGCGACUUGCUCUCAAGGCCAAAGGAAGCUAAGGUUUGUAACAAGAACGUAUGUGUUUGUCGUGAAAAUAGUAACAACAAUUAAGUUGAUAAAUGGGAUUUUAAAAAUAGAUGAUCUAUUCCCGAGCUAGUUUCUAGGGUGAUUAGUGCUGAAAUGAGAAGUAAAGCGAUGGAGAUCGAGUUAAACAAAUCAAUAACCAAACCAGUGAAGGGACAUUACCCGGGCGCAAAACCAGCCGGUGAGAACCUCGGAGCCAAGCCUCGAGCCUAUCUCGGGCUUAUCAAGGAUAGUCGGGAAAGGGAUAAUACGUAAAAUACAGUUGAACCAAGCUCUAUACUACCAAUAUUGAGGAAAAUAAUAACAAGAACAAAUGAUGAAAUAAUAAAGUGCUAAAGUGACCUCGAGGUCGAUGGAGACAAAUAUCUUAGAAGAGAUAGAGAGAGAGAGUAUUACUGCUUUCCUAAG